Molecule: unclassified non-coding RNA, 355 nt
Filed under: soil metagenome
Description: partial contains 5.8S ribosomal RNA, internal transcribed spacer 2, and large subunit ribosomal RNA
Rfam family: 5.8S ribosomal RNA (bases 1-120)
Source: RNAcentral
GAUGAAGAACGUAGCGAAAUGCGAUAAGUAAUGUGAAUUGCAGAAUUCAGUGAAUCAUCGAAUCUCUGAACGCACAUUGCGCCCAUUAGUAUUCUAGUGGGCAUGCCUGUUCGAGCGUCAUUAAGUCCACUUAAGCCCUGCUUAGUGUUGGGAGACUGCUCCAGCGGUGCUACCCUGUAGCUACCCUGCAGCUCCUCAAAGACAGCGGCGGAGUUGUGGUAUCCUCUGAGCUUAGUAACUUGUUCUAGCUUUCGAGUACACCACUUCCCCUGCCGUAAAACCCUUAAUUUUUAAUGGUUGACCUCGGAUCAGGUAGGAAUACCCGCUGAACUUAAGCAUAUCAAUAAGCGGAGGA